UAGAGUGCUGUGAUUUAAAAAUAUAUUCCUCGUUCUGAUCUGAGGAUGUGAGGACUACUUUACACCCAUAGAAUAUGAGCACUC
This 84-nucleotide small nucleolar RNA is filed under the name Marchantia polymorpha subsp. ruderalis. RNAcentral's name for it is "Small nucleolar RNA snoR8a". It matches the Rfam family "Small nucleolar RNA snoR8a". The record is from Rfam by way of RNAcentral. Lineage: Eukaryota; Viridiplantae; Streptophyta; Marchantiopsida; Marchantiales; Marchantiaceae.